CAUACCACUUGUUGCCUCGGCGGAUCAGCCCGCUCCCGGUAAAACGGGACGGCCCGCCAGAGGACCCCUAAACUCUGUUUCUAUAUGUAACUUCUGAGUAAAACCAUAAAUAAAUCAAAACUUUCAACAACGGAUCUCUUGGUUCUGGCAUCGAUGAAGAACGCAGCAAAAUGCGAUAAGUAAUGUGAAUUGCAGAAUUCAGUGAAUCAUCGAAUCUUUGAACGCACAUUGCGCCCGCCAGUAUUCUGGCGGGCAUGCCUGUUCGAGCGUCAUUUCAACCCUCAAGCACAGCUUGGUGUUGGGACUCGCGUUAAUUCGCGUUCCUCAAAUUGAUUGGCGGUCACGUCGAGCUUCCAUAGCGUAGUAGUAAAACCCUCGUUACUGGUAAUCGUCGCGGCCACGCCGUUAAACCCCAACUUCUGAAUGUUGACCUCGGAUCAGGUAGGAAUACCCGCUGAACUUAAGCAUAUC
This 471-nucleotide ribosomal RNA is filed under the name Fusarium oxysporum. Its description in RNAcentral is "eukaryotic LSU rRNA". The stretch from base 119 to 272 matches the Rfam family "5.8S ribosomal RNA". Lineage: Eukaryota; Fungi; Ascomycota; Sordariomycetes; Hypocreales; Nectriaceae. RNAcentral also lists the same sequence under 1 other name. The record is from RNAcentral.